UUUUAAACGGGAAUCGGCUAUAAGUUUGAUAUUGUGCUCACUAAAUCUCAAAAAAGAACCCCAAAAUAUAAAUAAUUUUUGGUGAGUAAUCGUGGGUGAUCUGCCCUACACUUUGAGUGGAGCCUGGGAAACUGGGUCUAAUACCGAAUAUUCACACCACCGUAGGGGUGGUGUGGAAAGCUUUAUGCGGUGUGGGAUGAGCCUGCGGCCUAUCAGCUUGUUGGUGGGGUAAUGGCCUACCAAGGCGUCGACGGGUAGCCGGCCUGAGAGGGUGUACGGCCACAUUGGGACUGAGACACGGCCCAGACUCCUACGGGAGGCAGCAGUGGGGAAUAUUGCACAAUGGGCGCAAGCCUGAUGCAGCGACGCCGCGUGGGGGAUGAAGGCCUUCGGGUUGUAAACUCCUUUCGCUAGGGACGAAGCCUUAUGGUGACGGUACCUGGAGAAAAAGCACCGGCUAACUACGUGCCAGCAGCCGCGGUAAUACGUAGGGUGCGAGCGUUGUCCGGAAUUACUGGGCGUAAAGAGCUCGUAGGUGGUUUGUCGCGUCCUCUGUGAAAUCCCGGGGCUUAACUUCGGGCGUGCAGGCGAUACGGGCAUAACUUGAGUGCUGUAGGGGAGACUGGAAUUCCCUGGUGUAGCGGUGAAAUGCGCAGAUAUCAGGAGGAACACCAAUGACGAAGGCAGGUCUCUGGGGCAGUAACUGACGCUGAGGACCAACAGCAUGGGUAACCAACAGAUUAAUACCCUGGUACUCCAUGCCAUAAAACGGUGGGCGCUAGGUGUAAGUGGUCCUCCAACUACUUGCUGUGCCCGCAACUUACCUAUUAACGGCGCUGGAGGAAGUUACGCGCCCCGCAAGGCCUAAAAACCUCCAGAGAUAUAUUGACCGGGCGCGCCCCUCCCACAGCGGCAGCAGCCCAUGGUUGUAUUUAAUUUCCGAUUGCUAUCGCGAAGAAUCCUUACCGUGGACUUGACACUGGA
This 984-nucleotide ribosomal RNA is filed under the name Corynebacterium glutamicum. RNAcentral describes it as "bacterial SSU rRNA". The stretch from base 1 to 879 matches the Rfam family "Bacterial small subunit ribosomal RNA". Lineage: Bacteria; Bacillati; Actinomycetota; Actinomycetes; Mycobacteriales; Corynebacteriaceae. The record is from RNAcentral.